UAGAGAACGCUCUGGAAGCACCGUUCGAGAUAGCCAAACAAACCUUCCAUGCCGUGUCCAGGCCGACGCCUUGGUCCGUACACAGACCCAGCACGGCAUAAUUAAGUAAUGGGACCCAUUGUGCCGGACCUAGUCGUGCCGGCCGAGUCGGGUCAGAGCCAUGUUGUGCCGGGUGCCCGAAUGGCCAACUAAAGGCGAAGCGGACCGAGGGGUCAAAAUCUGCCGGGGACGUGGCCGUGGCCGCCGGGCCACCGAUGCGCAGCGGCGCCGGCGACGGCCGGCGCGGGCGGAGGGCGCGGCCGUCGUCUCGACAGGUCAGGACAACGCGGUGUAGGGCGGAGGGGCGGAGCAGGUCCGCCGGCGCCGGCGCGGUGGUCGAGCUCCUCCAAGAGCUCCAAGAGGCUCCAACGCGGGGUGAGGCGGAGCUUGGCGCAGCGGCCGGCGCAUGGCGAUGCGGAGCUGGAUGGGCCGCCGGCGCUGGACGGGAAGGCGCACCGCGGCUGCCGGCGGUGGCGCGGGGAUGGGGGCGGCGCAGGUGGAGGCGAGGAACGGGACGGGCGGCGAGGGCGCAGGGGCGGAGCGAGCCACAGGUGCAGGCGAGUGCGGAGGCCGAGGCGCGGAGUACUGGAGCAGGCCGGCGAGCCGCAGGAGCAGAGGCGGAGCAGGGCCGGAGCAGGCCAGCAAGCGCCGAAGCGGAUGCUGGGACGCCGUGUGAAAAGGAGACGCAGAAGGAAGAGGAAAAAAAUGCUGACAUGUGGACCCCACCGUUAAUUAAAAAACUGUGCUGUAGUAAGAUUGUUGGAGAGGUGAUCUAUAGUAUUUACUUCAUCAUACGUGGACUUCGUUAUAGAGAGCAACUUAGUGUUGAGGAUGCUCUAGCCCUAAUUAAUUCCUAAUUAAUUCUCUGUUUCCUCCCCGCGCCAGAAUGAAGAUUUCUAGUUCCAGUUAUCCCAGUAGGGGUUAUUCUGUCCAUCCACAGUAGUACUAUUAUGUUCUCGAGAUCUGUACCUAUAGCAAGCUACUUUGAUUUAUAUCAUAUCACGUAACUUUUACUACGUACCAAUAAAAUAGCAUGCUUCCUCUCUCACCGUUUCAAAAUCAUCUGAACCAGCUCUCCCGUCUCUGCCUCUCCCCUCCCCCACCGAUGGCGAUGGUACAGAUCCGCCUCACCGGCGGUGACUCCGACUCUGCUCAUCGGAGCAACGACGGCGAGUCCCGCCAAGGCUAGAUCCAAUGGCCUCGGGGCCAGAUCCGCCAUUGGUAGUGAGACAUCUAGGAGCUCGCCACCGCGGUCCCCAGUCCACGGCUAAUCGACUCGUCCGACGACGACGAGGGUGCGAAGUUGUGCCUCCGAUGGCUCGUCGCCGACGCAAGGGGCGCAAGACGCUUCGCGACGACCUAAGGGCGGCGGCGAGGCGUACGAGCACGCGACAGAUCUGGCGACGAGCAACACGGCCCAGUUGGUCUCCAGCGUCGUCGCACCCGCGCUGCCGUGCUGGCCUCGAGGCUCUACGUGCCGCCAGCACAGGGCACGCGCCAGCUGCUGGCCGCCGCACCCGGUCGCCCGUCGCCUACAUCAUCGGAUGGCACACCCGCACACCCGAGCAGGCAGACCUUCCGGCCGCCGCACCUGCUUGCUCGCUCGUUGUCUGCCUCAUCAGAUGGCCCGACCGCCGGUGCCGCCAACCACUUGGGUAGGAGCCGCAGUUGACGUUUUAGUUGGGAGAAGAAAUCUGGGACUUGGGGAGCGUUCGUCCGCUCGGAGCCUCGGUUGUGCCUAGAGACAUGAAUUUGUGUUGGUUGUGCUUCUCUCGGCAUGUGGGGGGAGCCGUGAGCAGCUGGAGAUUUGGGGAGUGGGGAAAACAAAGAGUAGAGUGAGAAGCCCUACUGCUUGCCUCAUGCUACUCUAUUCGUGGAGAAGAAAUUGCUGAGAGAAAGGGAGAAGACUUUCUUGGUGCUUGCAGAUUUGGGAAAUGACAAGUAGAUAGAGCUGCUUCCUGUUGUGCUUUGCUGGUGAAAAACAGAGAUCUACAGAAGCUGGGGAAUACCCCUCAAAAUUUGACUCUCUCUGCUCUGCCUCACGCCGUCCUCACUUCUUUUAUGUCCGGCGGUUCCUUAGAUUCUUGAUCUAGCAGCACCGUUGCAAACGGCGGCGCUCCCUUGCUCAUGGAGCAGGUAUACGAAGUACAAUUCCAUAUCGAAGUUCGUAUCACGUGAACAUGUACUUUUAGCAAUGUUUUGAUUAGGGUCUUGCUUCUCUAAGGUGGACACUGGCCUCAUGAUCUAUGCAUGACCAUGUACAUUUUUGUUUGGAUGGGGCUUUGCUUCUUAAAUAAAUUUGCACAUGAUCUUUUAUAUUAUUUUAAAUCUAGUUGUUGAAAU
This is a long non-coding RNA of Panicum hallii, 2382 nucleotides long. RefSeq lists it as uncharacterized. NCBI's taxonomy places the organism in Eukaryota, Viridiplantae, Streptophyta, Magnoliopsida, Poales, Poaceae. The record is from RefSeq and is a predicted model, not a curated record. The transcript is spliced from 3 exons.